This 889-nucleotide ribosomal RNA is filed under the name Bagnisiella examinans. RNAcentral's name for it is "LSU rRNA". It matches the Rfam family "Eukaryotic large subunit ribosomal RNA", at positions 37 to 944 of the family's 3401-position model. Lineage: Eukaryota; Fungi; Ascomycota; Dothideomycetes; Botryosphaeriales; Aplosporellaceae. The record is from RNAcentral.
AGCAUAUCAAUAAGCGGAGGAAAAGAAACCAACAGGGAUUGCCUCAGUAACGGCGAGUGAAGCGGCAACAGCUCAAAUUUGAAAUCUGGCCCUUUCAGGGUCCGAGUUGUAAUUUGUAGAGGAUGCUUCGGCGAGGGCUCCCGUCUAAGUUCCCUGGAACGGGACGUCAUAGAGGGUGAGAAUCCCGUAUGUGAUGGGUUGCUCGAGCCAUGUGAAGCUCCUUCGACGAGUCGAGUUGUUUGGGAAUGCAGCUCUAAAUGGGAGGUAAAUUUCUUCUAAAGCUAAAUACCGGCCAGAGACCGAUAGCGCACAAGUAGAGUGAUCGAAAGAUGAAAAGCACUUUGGAAAGAGAGUUAAAAAGUACGUGAAAUUGUUGAAAGGGAAGCGCUUGCAACCAGACUUGUCCGCAGUUGUUCAGCCGGUCUCCUGACCGGCGUACUCUUCUGCGGCCAGGCCAGCAUCAGUUCGGGCGGCUGGAUAAAGGCCUCGGGAAUGUGGCUCUCUUCGGGGAGUGUUAUAGCCCGGGGCGGAAUGCAGCCAGCCUGGACUGAGGAUCUCGCUUCGGCAAGGAUGCUGGCGUAAUGGUUGUAAGCGGCCCGUCUUGAAACACGGACCAAGGAGUCUAACAUCUAUGCGAGUGUUUGGGUGUCAAACCCAUACGCGUAAUGAAAGUGAACGGAGGUGGGAACCCGCAAGGGCGCACCAUCGACCGAUCCUGAUGUCUUCGGAUGGAUUUGAGUAAGAGCAUAGCUGUUGGGACCCGAAAGAUGGUGAACUAUGCCUGAAUAGGGUGAAGCCAGAGGAAACUCUGGUGGAGGCUCGCAGCGGUUCUGACGUGCAAAUCGAUCGUCAAAUUUGGGUAUAGGGGCGAAAGACUAAUCGAACCAUC